This 253-nucleotide ribosomal RNA is filed under the name uncultured bacterium. Its description in RNAcentral is "partial 16S ribosomal RNA". It matches the Rfam family "Bacterial small subunit ribosomal RNA", at positions 524 to 776 of the family's 1533-position model. The record is from RNAcentral.
UACGUAGGGUGCGAGCGUUAAUCGGAAUUACUGGGCGUAAAGCGUGCGCAGGCGGUUUUGUAAGUCGGAUGUGAAAUCCCCGGGCUCAACCUGGGAAUUGCAUUCGAGACUGCAAGGCUUGGGUGCGGAAGAGGGAAGCGGAAUUUCCGGUGUAGCGGUGAAAUGCGUAGAUAUCGGAAGGAACAUCAGUGGCGAAAGCGGCUUCCUGGUCCAGCACCGACGUUCAGGCACGAAAGCGUGGGGAGCAAACAGG